RNAcentral lists this ribosomal RNA (240 nucleotides) under uncultured bacterium. RNAcentral's name for it is "partial 16S ribosomal RNA". It matches the Rfam family "Bacterial small subunit ribosomal RNA", at positions 15 to 244 of the family's 1533-position model. The record is from RNAcentral.
GAUCAUGGCUCAGGAUGAACGCUAGCUACAGGCUUAACACAUGCAAGUCGAGGGGAAACGACAUCGAAAGCUUGCUUUUGAUGGGCGUCGACCGGCGGACGGGUGAGUAACGCGUGGGUAACCUGCCUCAUACAGGGGGAUAACAGUUAGAAACGACUGCUAAUACCGCAUAAGCGCACAGGAUCGCAUGAUCCGGUGUGAAAAACUCCGGUGGUAUGGGAUGGACCCGCGUCUGAUUAG